ACGUGGGCAACUGUAUCCCCGCCCACAAUGGCGAAGUGAGGCGGGGCCGAAGGCGGGGCCGAGGGGCGGGCUUGGAGGACGGGACGGGGGUGCGGCUAGAAGAGGAGGAGACUGAUACGGGGGGGAGGAGCUGAAGCCGUCUCUGGUGGAGAGUGUGCGUCAUGACGUCAUGGCUCAGAGUACUUAUAUACAGGCGCCUGGCCGCCAUCUCGGUCUUUCGUGGCUGCGAGCUGGCCGUUCCUGUGAGUUGUUCUUUGCUGCUAAGAACCGCGGCAGGCAUGACUCCAAUGUGGAUUUUGAUGGCUUCUGUUGGGCAGUUGUGUACCAGAAGGAUGACAACUACUGCUGGGGUGUUAAAGCGCAAGCUUGGUGCUGUGUCUAUGAGCAGACAGAUGAUGGCUACAUGUUUUGUUACGUGGCUGACUUCUUUGGGGUAAGACACGAAAACAGUGACUGCUGGCAUUUGGGCUUAUAGUGUUUCUGAAAUGUGCUGGUCCAAGUAGUUGACCUUUGAUAGUGUUUUCUGAUGUUGGACAGAUCAAUCUUAUCUAAUUACUAAGCAAGGUACUGUUAGUGAUGAUUUUUAUAAUAAAACAGAUGGGAAUCUCUCUGAAAAAGCAUGAAGUUUUAAAAAACUGAAACAGUAUCUUGAAUCAGUAUCAAUAGUAUUUUGAAAUCUAUUACUACUUACUAAAAGUAACUUAAUUUCUGCAGGUGUGAAGAGAGGUAGUGACUACAAUGCAAGGAAUCAGGAGUUCUAACCAAAG
RNAcentral lists this long non-coding RNA (767 nucleotides) under Capra hircus (goat). Its description in RNAcentral is "lncRNA (ENSCHIG00010019047.1)". The stretch from base 566 to 646 matches the Rfam family "Small nucleolar RNA SNORD79". Lineage: Eukaryota; Metazoa; Chordata; Mammalia; Artiodactyla; Bovidae. The record is from RNAcentral.